Small nuclear RNA from Xenopus tropicalis (tropical clawed frog), 155 nucleotides. Its record names the gene U4. It matches the Rfam family "U4 spliceosomal RNA". From Rfam's summary of the family: U4 small nuclear RNA (U4 snRNA) is a component of the major U2-dependent spliceosome. The structure of U4 snRNA from yeast and human has been reported. The record is from Ensembl. Lineage: Eukaryota; Metazoa; Chordata; Amphibia; Anura; Pipidae.
AGCUCUGCGCAGGGGCAGUAUAAUAGCCAAUGAGGUCAAACUGAGGCGUGAUUAUUGCUAAUUGUGAUGAAGCUGAAGCUUGAUGAAAGCAGAGGGGCUGUGUUCCCAUUAGGGAACUGCUGGCUUAUUUUUUGUCGGGGGCUUCGCACAUGCUC